This 254-nucleotide ribosomal RNA is filed under the name uncultured bacterium. Its description in RNAcentral is "partial 16S ribosomal RNA". It matches the Rfam family "Bacterial small subunit ribosomal RNA", at positions 524 to 776 of the family's 1533-position model. The record is from RNAcentral.
UACAGAGGGUGCAAGCGUUAAUCGGAUUUACUGGGCGUAAAGCGCGCGUAGGCGGCUAAUUAAGUCAAAUGUGAAAUCCCCGAGCUUAACUUGGGAAUUGCAUUCGAUACUGGUUAGCUAGAGUGUGGGAGAGGAUGGUAGAAUUCCAGGUGUAGCGGUAGAAAUGCGUAGAGAUCUGGAGGAAUACCGAUGGCGAAGGCAGCCAUCUGGCCUAACACUGACGCUGAGGUGCGAAAGCAUGGGGAGCAAACAGG